This 403-nucleotide ribosomal RNA is filed under the name uncultured soil bacterium. RNAcentral's name for it is "bacterial SSU rRNA". It matches the Rfam family "Bacterial small subunit ribosomal RNA", at positions 26 to 459 of the family's 1533-position model. The record is from RNAcentral.
AGAACGAACGCUGGCGGCAUGCCUAAUACAUGCAAGUCGAACGAAGGCUUCGGCCUUAGUGGCGCACGGGUGCGUAACGCGUGGGAAUCUGCCCCUUGGUUCGGAAUAACAGUUGGAAACGACUGCUAAUACCGGAUGAUGACGAAAGUCCAAAGAUUUAUCGCCAAGGGAUGAGCCCGCGUAGGAUUAGCUAGUUGGUGAGGUAAAGGCUCACCAAGGCGACGAUCCUUAGCUGGUCUGAGAGGAUGAUCAGCCACACUGGGACUGAGACACGGCCCAGACUCCUACGGGAGGCAGCAGUAGGGAAUACUGGACAAUGGGCGAAAGCCUGAUCCAGCAAUGCCGCGUGAGUGAUGAAGGCCUUAGGUGUAAAGCUCUUUUACCCGAGAUGAUAAUGACAGUA